CCUACGGAGGGCAGCAGUGAGGAAUAUUGGUCAAUGGCCGGAAGGCUGACGCAGCCAAGUCGCGUGAGGGACGACUGCCCUAUGGGUGGUAAGUCCCUUUGAUAAGGGAAGAGUCCAUGCUACGUGUAGCCUGCUUCCUUUACCUUAUGUAUAGGCGUCGGCUAACUCGGUGCCGUCAGACGCGGUAAUACGGAGGAUGCGACCGUUAUCCGGAUUUGUUGGGUUAAAAGGGUGCGUAGGCGGUGUUUUAAGUUAGUGGGUAAACGUCGGGGCUUCACCUUGAUUUGCCAUUAAUACUGUAAGACUCGAGUUCAGACGAGGUAGGCGGAAUAAGUCAAGUAGCGGUGAAAUGCUUAGAUAU
This 361-nucleotide ribosomal RNA is filed under the name uncultured bacterium. RNAcentral describes it as "partial 16S ribosomal RNA". It matches the Rfam family "Bacterial small subunit ribosomal RNA", at positions 338 to 697 of the family's 1533-position model. The record is from RNAcentral.